UGAGUGUAUUUAAGGAGCUGUUGCAGCAGUUCUAGACUGCUUGAUAACCUCGUUGUCACCUCCCCAGGUGGCUGUAAUGAAAGUGGUGCAAUUUUCUUUAGAAGGGCAGGAACCUGCAAAAAAAUUAAAUAUGUCAAGUUAGUCCAGUGUGUGGAGACUCCAGGAUCCGAAGCCAAGCCUCCCGCAGACGGAUUAGUUUUACAGCUAUGAGAAGGCAUUACCCCGGCAGGGCACGGACAUCCCUGCUGAGGAGGGUGGGAUAUCGCUGCAAAAACCUUCUCUGAACAUCCCUACACAACAUGAAUUUCCAGGAAAGUGGCAAUGCUGUUAGCAGUUCUGCCUGUUCUGAACCUCCUUUGCAGCAGAGAAGUCUAAUAGUGAAUGUAUUUGACUAUAAAUAACAAUAAACUUCACAGAAAAUAAAUUUAUAUAUUUGUA
Molecule: long non-coding RNA, 438 nt
Filed under: Junco hyemalis (dark-eyed junco)
Lineage: Eukaryota; Metazoa; Chordata; Aves; Passeriformes; Passerellidae
Description: lncRNA (ENSJHYG00000012541.1)
Source: RNAcentral